Molecule: ribosomal RNA, 298 nt
Filed under: uncultured Thiobacillus sp.
Lineage: Bacteria; Pseudomonadati; Pseudomonadota; Betaproteobacteria; Nitrosomonadales; Thiobacillaceae
Description: partial 16S ribosomal RNA
Rfam family: Bacterial small subunit ribosomal RNA
Source: RNAcentral
GGGUUAAGUCCGCAACGAGCGCAACCCUUACUCAUUAGUUGCUACGCAAGGGCACUCUAAUGAGACUGCCGGUGACAACCGGAGGAAGGUGGGGAUGACGUCAAGUCCUCAUGGCCCUUAUGGGUAGGGCUUCACACGUCAUACAAUGGUCGGUACAGAGGGUUGCCAAGCCGCGAGGCGGAGCCAAUCCCACAAAGCCGAUCGUAGUCCGGAUUGUUCUCUGCAACUCGAGAGCAUGGAGUCGGAAUCGCUAGUAAUCGCAGGUCAGCAUACUGCGGUGAAUACGCUCCCGGGUCUU